GACGAACGCUGGCGGCGUGCUUAACACAUGCAAGUCGAACGGUGAAGGGAUCAGCUUGCUGGUUCUGGAUGAGUGGCGAACGGGUGAGUAACACGUGAGUAACCUGCCCCCUUCUUCUGGAUAACCGCAUGAAAGUGUGGCUAAUACGGGAUAUUCUGCGCCUGCUGCAUGGUGGGUGUGGGAAAGAUAUUGUUUCGGUGGGGGAUGGGCUCGCGGCCUAUCAGCUUGUUGGUGGGGUGAUGGCCUACCAAGGCGGUGACGGGUAGCCGGCCUGAGAGGGUGGACGGUCACACUGGGACUGGGACACGGCCCAGACUCCUACGGGAGGCAGCAGUGGGGAAUAUUGCACAAUGGGCGCAAGCCUGAUGCAGCGACGCCGCGUGAGGGAUGGAGGCCUUCGGGUUGUGAACCUCUUUCGCCAGUGAAGCAGGCCUGUCCCUUGUGGGUGGGUUGACGGUAGCUGGAUAAGAAGCGCCGGCUAACUACGCG
RNAcentral lists this ribosomal RNA (489 nucleotides) under uncultured bacterium. RNAcentral's name for it is "partial 16S ribosomal RNA". It matches the Rfam family "Bacterial small subunit ribosomal RNA", at positions 28 to 507 of the family's 1533-position model. The record is from RNAcentral.